UAUUAAAAAUUUAGUCCGUUUGUACUGUUAAAAACUAAUAUAGUUAACGGAAUAAUCAAAAAGUGACACGUGGCAUGCCACGUGUACCUCAUGGUUAUGUGCAAUGUUCAAUUUUUAACUGUAAAAAUAGAUGAAAUUUUGAACA
Gossypium arboreum is the source of this 145-nucleotide non-coding RNA. The record is from Rfam. NCBI's taxonomy places the organism in Eukaryota, Viridiplantae, Streptophyta, Magnoliopsida, Malvales, Malvaceae.